Molecule: non-coding RNA, 312 nt
Organism: Lupinus albus (white lupine)
Lineage: Eukaryota; Viridiplantae; Streptophyta; Magnoliopsida; Fabales; Fabaceae
Source: the annotation of a GenBank genome assembly
GAUUUAGUUGGUUUUCACACCUAUGAUAAUCCCUUUUGUUCAGCAGCAAGAUGAGAGUUUUAGGAGCACUCCUUGAUAUGUUAGGUUCCUUGCCAUUUGCCUUCUUCUUAGGUUAAAGCUGCACAAGAAUCACUUGAGGAGUUUUGCAGUAUAGGGAGGGGUAAAUUCAAGAAGAGCAAGAACAAUUAACCAAACUCAAACCCACAAUAGCUACCUCAUAUUGUCUUGCUGAGUUUACCCUUCUUUGACUAUUUUUAUUCUUGAUGUUCAUUUUCUUGUGCCACUGCUUCUUGGAACAUUUUCCUCAUUAUU